UCCGGCUUGUCACCGGCAGUUCCCCUAGAGUGCCCGGCCGAACCGAUGGCAACUAAGGGCGAGGGUUGCGCUCGUUGCGGGACUUAACCCAACAUCUCACGACACGAGCUGACGACAGCCAUGCAGCACCUGUGUGGCGUCCAGCCGAACUGAAGAAACCCGUCUCCGGGAACCGUCGUGGCAUGUCAAGGGCUGGUAAGGUUCUUCGCGUUGCGUCGAAUUAAGCCACAUGCUCCGCCGCUUGUGCGGGUCCCCGUCAAUUCCUUUGAGUUUUAGCCUUGCGGCCGUACUCCCCAGGCGGGGUGCUUAAUGCGUUUGCGACGGCACGGAAGGGGUUGAUGCCUCCCACACCUAGCACCCAACGUUUACGGCUGGGACUAC
Molecule: unclassified non-coding RNA, 381 nt
Filed under: uncultured bacterium
Lineage: Bacteria
Description: contains 16S-23S intergenic spacer region
Source: RNAcentral